Molecule: ribosomal RNA, 253 nt
Filed under: uncultured bacterium
Lineage: Bacteria
Description: partial 16S ribosomal RNA
Rfam family: Bacterial small subunit ribosomal RNA
Source: RNAcentral
UACGUAGGGUACAAGCGUUAAUCGGAAUUACUGGGCGUAAAGCGUGCGUAGACGGUUAUGUAAGUCGGGUGUGAAAGCCCCGGGCUCAACCUGGGAAUGCCAUUCGAGACUGCAUAGCUAGGGUGCGGAAGAGGGAAGCGGAAUUUCCGGUGUAGCGGUGAAAUGCGUAGAUAUCGGAAGGAACACCAGUGGCGAAAGCGGCUUCCUGGUCCAGCACCGACGUUCAGGCACGAAAGCGUGGGGAGCAAACAGG